GGACUCGCCCACCUCCCGCCGACGCACGCACGUUCGCACGCAGGGUCGCACGCACGUCCUCGGUUGCCCUCCGACGCCACCGCCAGCCGGAAGCGGGGACCCGGGGAAACCCUGCUGAGGCAAGCGAGAGAGACCAGGAGCUCAUUGUGUAGCCUCGAAAGUUGAUAUGUGGGGCUGGAGAGAUGGCUCAGCGGUUAAGAGCACUGUCUGCUCUUCCAGAGGUCCUGAGUUCAAUUCCUAGCACCCACAUGGUGGCUCACAACCUGUAAUGGGAUCCGAUGCCCUCUUCUGGUGUGUCUGAAGGCAGCAACAGUGUACUCAUAUAAAUAAAAAUUAAUUAAAAAAUUUAAAAAAGAAA
Long non-coding RNA from Rattus norvegicus (Norway rat), 358 nucleotides. RefSeq lists it as uncharacterized. NCBI's taxonomy places the organism in Eukaryota, Metazoa, Chordata, Mammalia, Rodentia, Muridae. The record is from RefSeq and is a predicted model, not a curated record.